GCGGCGAUCUACUACCCGCAUAAAGGUAUUGUGUUCUGAACACAUUACAGUAGUGUUUACUGUUCAAUUUCGAAUUUCAAAUUUAAAUGCAUGCAUGCUAUAUAUCAUAUUUAGAUCCUAGUGUAGGAUAAACUCUUAUUAAUUAAUUAGAUUAAUUAAUAAUUUACACAGUAAAAUAGUGAUUUUGAAAAAGUUUUAAAAUUAUCAUUUUACCCUUGCACUGAUUUUCCCACAUGACUACCU
This 243-nucleotide long non-coding RNA is filed under the name Elaeis guineensis (African oil palm). RNAcentral's name for it is "long non-coding RNA (EGUI_LNC047656)". Lineage: Eukaryota; Viridiplantae; Streptophyta; Magnoliopsida; Arecales; Arecaceae. The record is from RNAcentral.